Molecule: RNA transcript, 4717 nt
Organism: Mustela erminea (ermine)
Lineage: Eukaryota; Metazoa; Chordata; Mammalia; Carnivora; Mustelidae
Gene: MROH9
Gene name: maestro heat like repeat family member 9
Exons: 23
Source: RefSeq, a predicted model, not a curated record
UGCAGAUGGGUCAGGAUGGAUGGGAAAAAUUCUGUAGCUUCGAAGUCACCAGGAUCAAAUAAUGGAGAAGAGAAGAAUAAGGCUUCGAAAAGAGCAGUUCACACACACGAUUCUAGGUCGGGAAGGGAAUUCCUCCAUGUGAAAGGCCAGCAAACAUUCACUCUGAGGACAGCUCACCUCGUUCAAUACUGAGUAAUAAUUAAAGAGGAAUCAACAGAGGAUGUAAACAAAGAUUUCACAAGAAAAAAGAACAGAAAGUAUGAGUAGUAGAAGACUUUAACUCACCUUUGUCAGCAUGACAUCAAAGAAUCAGAAAGCAAGUAAGAAUUUAAGACACAGCAAAGACAAAGUAACCAGUCUCCAGAUUCUGCAGUCCAGCGUGAAAUGGCAUCACAUGGAGAAUGUAGCUGCCUGCCUAUGGGACGCGUACUCAGGCCUGUUCGGUGACCAAGCCAUGAUCCUUGCUAUGAACUCCAGCUAUGUAGAUCCCCUUCUGCAGUUUGAAACCCAACUGAAGAUAAUAAAGUCCUCCUUUAAAAUGGUAUUUUCUAUACCAAGUCUUGAGGAAGUGAAGGAAAUGGGAGACCGGGAAGAUGACAAAGAGGACCUGGAGAAUCUGUAUCAAAACACUUUAAACUUAUUUGAGGACACUCUUCUGAUCUUAGUGUCUAAAGAUCUCUACAAACUGCAAAUCUUAAAGGACAUGGCUGAGUGGAUAAACGAAGACAGCUCCUACCUGCAGGAGAGGGUUGUGCUGGUCGUCAGCAGGGUGCUAAGCUUCGCGUCCCGCAGAGUCAGGGGAUACGCAAGUGUUGAUGCCCCGUGUUUGGGUGUCCUGGCAGCAGAAUUGUCUCUUCUGUGUUGCCACAGUGAUCCCUUAAUCACACAGCAGGCAGCCUCAGGACUGUGCCACCUCCUCUGCAUUGCAAAGUGUCAGAAUGCGGGUACUGAAAGAAAAAGAUCCACCGUGUGUGAGAAGUCCGGCGAUCACUGCCUCCUGAAUACUCCCUCUGAUAUGGAAUUCCUACCUAACGUCUUGCAACGGGACAAAACUAAAAUUACCCAGAGUGUAGGAUUGACCCUGCUGCCAUCCUUGCUGACUGACUUUGUGUGGAGUCUCCUCAUGAGACUCUCUUCACCUAAUAACAUAAUCGCAUUCAGGGCAUCCACCAUGCUGAAGUUGACCUUGGAAUACCACGCACAUAAGGUCACCAUGGUGUCUAAGAUUGUGGACACCAUCUAUAAGCAGUUGUGUGAGAAUCCUUCUCAUGUCAUGAAGCACACAAUGCUGCGGGUCGUCACCCUGUUAACACGCACCUCACCGAAGAAGGUUGUCUUCCAACUGAUGGAUUACCCAGUCCCAGCAGACAACACGUUGAUCCUGAUGUGGCACGCGGCGGGUUCCGAGUCGAGCGUGGCCCCUCACGUGCUGAAGACAAUCUUGCUGAUCCUGAAAGGCAAGCCUGGGGAAAUGCAGGAUAGCCUCAAGGAAAGAAGGCGGUUCUCUCUUGAUACCACUAAUAUGAUGCCUGUAGCGGCCUCGCAGGCCCUGUGCACGCUGCUGCCCGUCGGCUCCUACAGGAAGGCGGUGGCGCAGGUGUUCCCGCAGCUGCUGAUGGCCCUCAUGCUCCAGCUCUGCUACAGCAGGGACCUGCGGCUGGUGACCGGGAACAGGACGCUCUACGCCCAGGACGCCCUGCGGGUGCUGCUGACCUGCUCCGGGCUGCAGCAGGUGGACGCUGCCCUGAAGAGGAAGAACUGCUGGAGCCGGUUCAGCCACGCGCCCUCCCACCACUACGGGGUCUACCUCGUCGCCAAAGCUCUCAGUGAAUACAACUUCCCACAGUUUCCAGAGACCUUGCAUUACCUCUACAAGCUCUCAGUGGAAGAUCCUAGACGGUCAGAAGACAGUAUCAUCACAGUAAUAUUCCUCACUGAAAUCCUGAAUAAUUUCUUCAAGGACCCAUUCCCAGAAGAGUUUUUGGUUCUCUUCAGAAACUGGGUUAAUGACGCCAAUCCCACGGUUAGCAAGCUGAGCCUUCAGAAAAUCGCCAGCAUGGCGCCAGUGAUCAAUGAGAUAGAAAAUGUCUGCAGCUUGUUGGUGUCCGUCUUGGAUGCCUUCCUUUCAAAAGACAAAACUGUUAUAAUUCGAGCCUUAAUCACCCUUCGAAGACUUCUAAUCAGACUGGACAAGGUGACCUACUCCUCUCUGUGUACUAGAAUUGCUUCCAGCUACUGUCCUCUGAUGGAUCACAGUGACGGGGGCAUCCGGAGUAUGGCCAUUCAGCACUUCGGCGAGUUACUCAGGGACAUGAGUGAGUACACGUGGAUGCUGAAUGACGUGAUUCUUCGAGGUUUGGCGCCCCUGAUCCUGUUUUUGGAAGACACAGAAAUUAGAGUCGCUCAAGCAUGUAAGUAUACGUUAGCGAUCUGCGUCUCAGAAUUAAACUGGCCAACGUGGCAUUUGCUCAAGGACGAGUUUUACAGUUUCGAGGUGGUGGUGCUCAGCAUCUGCAGCAAUCUCCUUACAUCUCAUGAGAACUACAUUACAUAUCUGAUAUCUGAUACCUUAGGAUUCCUGAGAAGCUCCCGAGUAUAUCUGAGGAGAUCGUCGGUUAUUUUAAUAGGGUACUUGGCAAAGGUAGGUGGCCACCUACUGCUCAGAGAUGAAAUAGAAGUCAUGCUUGAGGCCAUUGACCUGAGGCUUCGAGACGAAGACCUUGUGACCAGGGAGUUGGCGGAGAUAACCUACACAGUUUUUAAGGAAAUAGCCCAUAGAUUGACCUCCUCCAACCUUAAACAAAUCUUCCGAAGAGUAUUUAACUCUAUCUACACAAAAAAACUGAAGCCUCUUUAUAAUUAUAAGUGGUCCGACAACCCCACCCACAGUCCUGUGAGGAUUAAGGAAACCAAGAAUGACAAGGAAGCCCAUAUGGGUGAGAAUUAGGAAACAGUUCAGUAAAGAAUGAGAUGUAGGUCUGUGGCUCAGAACACACCUCAGAAGAGAAAUGAUUUUCCUUUUCCUCUUGAUAAUGAGUCUAUACAUACAUGCUUUUCUGAAGGAUGCUAGAAGCCUUUCCUGUCACCUAAUUCUCUGUUCAAAUAUCGAAAUCCAUUGCCUUCCUAUGUUUAACAGUGAUCGAUUAAUACAGCUGAAAAAUCAUAUAAGCAAAGUGUUUGAUGAGAAGCUCUUGGAUUUUUAUUUAAUCGAUAAGCAUCUAUUGAACACCUUCUAAGUACCAGGCACUAUGCUAGGCAGUGGGGACAUUUGGGUUCUAUAAACAAGGUUCCUGUUCUCAGGAAGGUCGUGGUCUAGUGACACACCCGUGUGCCUGUUUCCAUCCUUCUGGGACAAAUACUGCCUCGAGCAGCACUGAGAACGGAAGAAAUGGGACUCGCACGGAAGGAGGAAGGGAAGUAGGGAGAUGUCAUUUCUGGGGCAAGAAGAGUCCUGGGGGAAAGCAGGCGACUUUGUCAUGGACACAGGUGGGCAGGGGAAGAAUGGGGAGAGCUGAGUCCCGAGGGGAAGAGGACGCUGUGCUAAUCACUUCAAACUUUCAAAAUGAAAACUGGAUAACCCACUCUCGUUAGUAGUGGCCCAUGGCCCUCAGGAAGCAGUCGAACCCUGUCCAGACCCAUCAGAAAGUCCCCAGUGAUCUUGCUUGCUUGAUCUUGCUUGACCUGUGGCUUGGGUUCAUCACUGUAUCUCCCUCCCACCCUGUCCUCCCCCCAACAUCAGACCCUCCAGUUACAGGAAACGACUUGUAGUUAGCUGAAAGCCCAGGUGGUUCAGGUGUUGCGUCUUUGUAAUACGCCCACUUGCAGUGCAUGGAUGUUUUCAUUUCUCUGGUGUGGGGCAGCAGCCACUGCCUCUGCCUGGGGUCCUCCUUCAGCUGCUCUGACUUCUGUUGACAAAGGACACGAGCUUCUCCUGUGAGCUACGUACAUCAUCAACAGCUUGAAUGGUAGAGGCCGCCGGAGAGUAACAUACGUCCAAGACUGUGGGUUUUCCCCCUCCUCUCCCACUCCCACUGUACAUGCCCCUUCCCUUCCCAACUGCGUGCCCUGCAAACGCCACGCUCCAGCAUCCGAGUGAAGACAGCAGCCUUGCUGAGACUACGGAACCUCCAACUCCCUGCGGUCAAAUCCCUGAUGCUGCCUCUCUACUCAAACCCUGACCGAUACCUGUGAGAUGCAUUUUCCAGACGCCUUUGAUCAACUGCUUUCCUUAGAGGAUGCCAGUCAUAUGGGACCAGAGGCCAUCCCAUGACUUCAUGUAAGCUUUAUUACUUCCUUAAAGAAGCUGUCUCCAAAUACAGUCACAUUCUGAGGUACUGGGGUUAGGAUUUGAACAAAGGAAUCUGGGGCAACACAAUUCAUCCCAUAACCUUCGUUCCUACCACACCAGGUCUCCACUUUAUUGGGACAUUCAGACCCUUGAGCCCAUCCCCUUACAUGUUCAUUUCCUUCUCUGCACAGCCUAGGACUCUUGUCUUCCAUUUCAGCGACCUUCCUAACAAAAGAAACGAUACCACAGCCUUCUUCCGGUGACGUUCUAAGAAGACACAAAUGUUGGCUCAAUUCACCUGUUACAUAACUGAACGAUUGUGAAUUCGCUCUUUGGUGAAGCACAGAUCAGAGACUAUGCCAGGUGGGAUUGUCAGCUGAAGGAAACUUGAUCAGAUGCAAAUAAGGAAUCAUGGGUAAUAAAUUCCAA